GAUGAACGCUGGCGGUGUGCCUUAAGCAUGCAAGUCGAGCGGGAUAGCAAUAUCCAGCGGCAGACGGGUGAGUAACGCGUAGGAAUCUACCUCGAAGUGGGGAAUAGCCUCCCGAAAGGGAGGGUAAUACCGCAUAUUAUCGCAAGAUCAAAGCCGUAAGGCGCUUUGAGAGGAGCCUGCGUCCUAUCAGCUAGUUGGUGGGGUAAUAGCCUACCAAGGCAAUGACGGGUAGCCGAUGUGAGAGCAUGAUCGGCCACAAGGUUACUGAGACACGGAACCUACACCUACGGGUGGCAGCAACUGGGAAUCUUGCGCAAUGGACGAAAGUCUGACGCAGCGACACCGCGUGCGGGAUGAAGCUCUUAGGAGUGUAAACCGCUGUGACAGGGGAUGAAAUUUUGACCGUACCCUGUUAGAAAGCACCUGCUAACCACGUGCCAGAAGCCUCGGUAAUACGUGGGGUGCGAGCGUUAUCCGGAUUUACUGGGCGUAAAGCGUACUGUCGGCGAUCUAGUAAGUCUUCUGUCCAAGCCUGGGGCUUAACUCCAGAAAGGCAGAGGAAACUACUAGAAUUGAGUCUGUUCGAGGAACCUGGAAUUCUCGGUGGAGGGGUGAAAUCCGUAGAUAUCGAGAGGAACGCCAAGUGCGAAGGCAGGGUUCUAGGACAUGACUGACGCUCAGAGACGAAAGCUAGGGGAGCAAAAGGGAUUAGAGACCCCUGUAGUCCUAGCCGUAAAUAUUGAAUACUAGUUGCCUCAACUCCGUUGGGGUGACGUAAGCUAACGCGUUAAGUAUUCCGCCUGGGGAGUACGACCGCAAGGUUA
Molecule: ribosomal RNA, 824 nt
Filed under: uncultured bacterium
Lineage: Bacteria
Description: bacterial SSU rRNA
Rfam family: Bacterial small subunit ribosomal RNA
Source: RNAcentral